GAGUUUGAUCCUGGCUCAGGAUGAACGCUGGCGGCGUGCCUAAUACAUGCAAGUCGAGCGAGAAACCUCUUUGAAGAUUCUUCGGAUGAUUCUGUGAGGUGGAAAGCGGCGGACGGGUGAGUAACGCGUAGGCAACCUGCCCUUUGCACAGGGAUAGCCAAUGGAAACGUUGAUUAAUACCUGAUAACGUGGGACCGAUGCAUAUCGGACCUGCCAAAGAUUUAUCGGCAAAGGAUGGGCCUGCGUCUGAUUAGCUAGUUGGUGAGGUAACGGCUCACCAAGGCUACGAUCAGUAGCCGACCUGAGAGGGUGAUCGGCCACAUUGGAACUGAGACACGGUCCAAACUCCUACGGGAGGCAGCAGUAGGGAAUCUUGCACAAUGGGCGAAAGCCUGAUGCAGCAACGCCGCGUGAAGGAUGAAGGCCUUCGGGUUGUAAACUUCUUUUCUUAGGGAAGAAGAAAGUGACGGUACCUAAGGAAUAAGCCCCGGCUAACUACGUGCCAGCAGCCGCGGUAAUACGUAGGGGGCAAGCGUUAUCCGGAAUUAUUGGGCGUAAAGAGUGCGUAGGUGGUUACCUAAGCGCAGGGUUUAAUCUAUCGGCUUAACUGAUACUCGCCCUGCGAACUGGGUACCUUGAGUGCAGGAGGGGAAAGCGGAAUUCCUAGUGUAGCGGUGAAAUGCGUAGAUAUUAGGAGGAACACCAGCGGCGAAGGCGGCUUUCUGGACUGUAACUGACACUGAGGCACGAAGGCGUGGGGAGCAAACAGGAUUAGAUACCCUGGUAGUCCACGCCGUAAACGAUGAGCACUAGCUGUUGGGUACGAAUGUAUUCAGUGGCGCAGUUAACGCAAUAAGUGCUCCGCCUGGGGAGUACGCUCGCAAGAGUAAAACUCAAAGGAAUUGACGGGGACCCGCACAAGCAGCGGAGCAUGUGGUUUAAUUCGAAGCAACGCGAAGAACCUUACCAGGUCUUGACAUCCUCUUGAAACCCUUGAUAACGAUAGGGCCUCUUCGGACAAGAGAGACAGGUGGUGCAUGGUUGUCGUCAGCUCGUGUCGUGAGAUGUUGGGUUAAGUCCCGCAACGAGCGCAACCCUCGUCGCUAGUUACUAACAUUAAGUUGAGGACUCUAGCGAGACUGCCGAGGUCAACUCGGAGGAAGGUGGGGAUGACGUCAAAUCAUCAUGCCCCUUAUGAUCUGGGCUACACACGUGCUACAAUGGUCGGUACAAUGAGAAGCGAACUCGUGAGGGGGAGCGAACCACCAAAACCGAUCCCAGUUCGGAUUGUAGGCUGAAACUCGCCUACAUGAAGUUGGAGUUGCUAGUAAUCGCGAAUCAGCAUGUCGCGGUGAAUGCGUUCCCGGGUCUUGUACACACCGCCCGUCACACCAUGGAAGUUGGGGGUGCCCGAAGUUGGUUAAUCAAUCUACUACCUAAGGCAAAACCAAUGACUGGGGUGAAGUCGUAACAAGGUAGCCGUAUCGGAAGGUGCGGCUGGAUCACCUCCUU
Molecule: ribosomal RNA, 1512 nt
Filed under: uncultured bacterium
Lineage: Bacteria
Description: 16S ribosomal RNA
Rfam family: Bacterial small subunit ribosomal RNA
Source: RNAcentral